Small nucleolar RNA from Mugil cephalus (flathead mullet), 141 nucleotides. RefSeq annotates it as small nucleolar RNA SNORD10. Lineage: Eukaryota; Metazoa; Chordata; Actinopteri; Mugiliformes; Mugilidae. The transcript has a single exon. The record is from RefSeq and is a predicted model, not a curated record.
GUAUGAUGAUGACAAACAUGCGUGUCAACUGACUCUGUCCGUCCCUGGUGUGUGGAUUCUCUCGUUGGCGUUUUGCCUCCGUGAGUCUUCAGGACACCAGGAACCCAGAGACGUGAUCAUACCAACACUACCCCUGAAUAC